This 914-nucleotide ribosomal RNA is filed under the name uncultured archaeon. RNAcentral's name for it is "bacterial SSU rRNA". It matches the Rfam family "Archaeal small subunit ribosomal RNA", at positions 1 to 922 of the family's 1478-position model. The record is from RNAcentral.
UUCCGGUUGAUCCUGCCGGACCUGACUGCUAUCGGAUUGAUACUAAGCCAUGCGAGUCUUUGUAGUAAUACAAGGCAUACGGCUCAGUAACGCGUAGUCAACCUACCCUAUGGACAAGAAUAAUCUCGGGAAACUGAGCAUAAUUCUUGAUAGAUCAUAAUGCCUGGAAUGGUUUAUGGUUAAAAUGAUUCGUCGCCAUAGGAUGGGACUGCGGCCUAUCAGUUUGUUGGUGAGGUAAUGGCCCACCAAGACUAUUACAGGUACGGGCUCUGAGAGGAGUAGCCCGGAGAUGGGUACUGAGACACGGACCCAGGCCCUAUGGGGCGCAGCAGGCGAGAAAACUUUGCAAUGUGCGAAAGCACGACAAGGUUAAUCCGAGUGGUUUCUGCUAAAGGAACCUUUUGUUAGUCCUAGAAACACUGACGAAUAAGGGGUGGGCAAGUUCUGGUGUCAGCCGCCGCGGUAAAACCAGCACCUCAAGUGGUCAGGAUGAUUAUUGGGCCUAAAGCAUCCGUAGCCGGCUCUGUAAGUUUUCGGUUAAAUCUGUACGCUCAACGUACAGGCUGCCGGGAAUACUGCAAAGCUAGGGAGUGGGAGAAGUAGACGGUACUCGGUAGGAAGUGGUAAAAUGCUUUGAUCUAUCGAUGACCACCUGUGGCGAAGGCGGUCUACUAGAACACGUCCGACGGUGAGGGAUGAAAGCUGGGGGAGCAAACCGGAUUAGAUACCCGGGUAGUCCCAGCUGUAAACUAUGCAAACUCAAUGAUGCAUUGGCUUGAUGCUAAUGCAGUGUUGCAGGGAAGCCGUUAGGUUUGCCGCCUGGGAAGUACGUACGCAAGUAUGAAACUUAAAGGAAUUGGCGGGGGAGCACCACAAGGGGUGAAGCCUGCGGUUCAAUUGGAGUCAACGCCGGA